RNAcentral lists this transfer-messenger RNA (303 nucleotides) under Verrucomicrobiaceae bacterium. RNAcentral's name for it is "partial transfer-messenger RNA". It matches the Rfam family "transfer-messenger RNA", at positions 51 to 374 of the family's 374-position model. From Rfam's summary of the family: Bacterial tmRNA, also known as 10Sa RNA or SsrA, is named for its dual tRNA and mRNA-like properties. Its role is to liberate the mRNA from a stalled ribosome. Lineage: Bacteria; Pseudomonadati; Verrucomicrobiota; Verrucomicrobiia; Verrucomicrobiales; Verrucomicrobiaceae. The record is from RNAcentral.
GGAUGAUUCGUUGGCCUCGUUAAAAUCGCGGAUCAAAAACAUAAAUGUGAACUCUAACGAGCUCGCUCUCGCGGCUUAAGCCCCGCGACGUCACGCAGGCGAUGUCUGGUAGCCUGCCUGACGACACUACCAGGCUGGUUGGAUCACCGGGCGACCGGGUGACCAACGAGACAAAACAGGACGCUGGGUGAAUGGCAGGCUGUCUCAAGCCGGCCACCACUGAGACCAAAGAUGAGACUGAGCAUGGAGACGCUACGGGUAACGGGUAUUCGGACAGGGGUUCAACUCCCCUCGCCUCCACCA